RNAcentral lists this long non-coding RNA (219 nucleotides) under Lathyrus oleraceus (garden pea). Its description in RNAcentral is "Pisum sativum (pea) long non-coding RNA (PSAT_LNC008070)". The record is from RNAcentral. Lineage: Eukaryota; Viridiplantae; Streptophyta; Magnoliopsida; Fabales; Fabaceae.
AAGGAAAAAAGAAAGGGCCCAAGCCCAAAACCAAUCUCUAACCUAAUACAAAUAACCAAAAAACAAAUAUAAAAAUAAAUAAAUAAAUAAAAAGAAAAAUAAAAACCCAAAAUUAUAACAGGGCGGCGCCCCAUUGGGCUCAAAUGAUCAUGUCCUUAUUUUUUUUUCAAAAUUUAAAAUUGACAAAUGGCAUUGCUACAUGUGGCGGGUUAAUGAAUU